GUGCCAGCAGCCGCGGUAAUACAGAGGGGGCCAGCGUUAUUCGGAAUUAUUGGGCGUAAAGGGCGCGUAGGCGGCCAUGCGUGUCUUCCGUGAAAUCCCUCGGCUUAACUGAGGACGUGCGGAAGAAACUGCAAGGCUCGAGUCCGGGAGAGGAGGGUGGAAUUCCCAGUGUAGCGGUGAAAUGCGUAGAUAUUGGGAGGAACACCGGUGGCGAAGGCGGCCCUCUGGACCGGUACUGACGCUGAUGCGCGAAAGCGUGGGUAGCAAACGGGAUUAGAUACCCCUGUAGUCC
Molecule: ribosomal RNA, 292 nt
Filed under: uncultured bacterium
Lineage: Bacteria
Description: partial 16S ribosomal RNA
Rfam family: Bacterial small subunit ribosomal RNA
Source: RNAcentral